UGGUGCGGUAGUUCAGUCGGUUAGAAUACCGGCCUGUCACGCCGGGGGUCGCGGGUUCGAGUCCCGUCCGCACCGCCAA
This 79-nucleotide transfer RNA is filed under the name Yersinia pestis Angola. RNAcentral's name for it is "tRNA-Asp". It matches the Rfam family "tRNA". Rfam says of the family: Transfer RNA (tRNA) molecules are approximately 80 nucleotides in length. Lineage: Bacteria; Pseudomonadati; Pseudomonadota; Gammaproteobacteria; Enterobacterales; Yersiniaceae. The record is from RNAcentral. RNAcentral also lists the same sequence under 8 other names.